AGUUUCCGCUUCACUACGAGUUUAGUGCGUUUAUGAGCUUCGUGCGUGUGAUGAUCUGAUUUUAGCGUCCGAAACGCAGCAGCCGCCCGGGCGGAGCCGCGACUCCGGGCGGAGCUCCGCGUUCCCCGGCCGGGAUGAGACGGCCGCUGCCGCAGGAACGGAGAGCACGCCGCUGCCUCCACAACCCCGACCUGGAGCACCAGCAACCCGCCCAGCUGGACCAGCAGCACCACCCUCAACAUCUGCAUCAGCACAGCUGGCGACGCAGCACAGCUUCACCUGGCCAGCGACCACGGAGACUACACUACCCAGCAUGCCCCUGCAGACACCAGGCUGUCCCUCGGACCGGCCCGGUGGCCCGGCAGCUGUGGUUGCCAUGACGACCGCCGGCGCCCAGGGGCUGCAGCGGUGCGUCCUGCAGCUGUGCAGCUUCUUCUCGCGGUGCGUCUGUGGACGUCUGCGCCGCCACACGCGGCCCAACAGGUUCUGUGUCCACGGUCAGAACUGGUACCACAAACACGUGUCUGAGGUCUGCCGCCGUGCCCGGAGGACCUCCCCCUCCAGGAAUGUGAAACAAAGAUGUGUGAUCAGGAUGUGUGAGGAGGCGUGACGAGAGAACCGGGCGCCACCGUCAUCAGCGCCACCGUCAUCAGCGCCACCGUCAUCAGCGCCACCUUCAUCAGCGCCACCUUCAUCAUCGCCACCUUCAUCACCGCCACCGUCAUCGGCGCCACCUUCAUCACCGCCACCGUCAUCGGCGCCACCGUCAUCGGCGCCACCGUCAUCACCGCCACCUUCAUCACCGCCACCUUCAUCACCGCCACCUUCAUCAUCGCCACCUUCAUCACCGCCACCUUCAUCACCGCCACCUUCAUCACCGCCACCUUCAUCACCGCCACCUUCAUCAUCGCCACCUUCAUCACCGCCACCUUCAUCACCGCCACCUUCAUCACCGCCACCUUCAUCAUCGCCACCUUCAUCACCGCCACCUUCAUCACCGCCACCUUCAUCACCGCCACCUUCAUCACCGCCACACAGAGUUGUGACUGUAACAGAUGCUGUGUCAAUAAAGUUUGGUUGAGUUGAACAAACGCUUCCUGUUUUGGCAUCAUUGUGGCAUUAUCUGGCCCCGCCCCUCCC
RNAcentral lists this long non-coding RNA (1140 nucleotides) under Takifugu rubripes (torafugu). Its description in RNAcentral is "lncRNA (ENSTRUG00000032126.1)". Lineage: Eukaryota; Metazoa; Chordata; Actinopteri; Tetraodontiformes; Tetraodontidae. The record is from RNAcentral.